UACGUAGGGGGCGAGCGUUGUCCGGAUUUAUUGGGCGUAAAGAGCGUGUAGGCGGCCAGGUAGGUCUGCUGUGAAAACUCGAGGCUCAACCUCGAGACGUCGGCGGAAACCAUCUGGCUAGAGUCCGGAAGAGGAGAGUGGAAUUCCUGGUGUAGCGGUGAAAUGCGCAGAUAUCAGGAGGAACACCGGUGGCGAAGGCGGGUCUCUGGGCCGAUACUGACGCUGAGGAGCGAAGGCGUGGGGAGCGAACAGG
RNAcentral lists this ribosomal RNA (253 nucleotides) under uncultured bacterium. RNAcentral's name for it is "partial 16S ribosomal RNA". It matches the Rfam family "Bacterial small subunit ribosomal RNA", at positions 524 to 776 of the family's 1533-position model. The record is from RNAcentral.